This is a long non-coding RNA of Oreochromis aureus, 181 nucleotides long. RefSeq lists it as uncharacterized. NCBI's taxonomy places the organism in Eukaryota, Metazoa, Chordata, Actinopteri, Cichliformes, Cichlidae. The transcript has 3 exons. The record is from RefSeq and is a predicted model, not a curated record.
GAGGCUCUCACUGAUGACCUACCAGAUCUUGACACAAGGGCUGCACUUUUAUUCCUGCCAUACGUCUUCAAGGAGAAACUGGAUCUCUUUGUCAUACUUGGAGAGGUUCAUCCUAAAACCCCCUAUCCAACUGUUCAGCUACUUCAUGAAGACUGGAAACCAGUGUUCUCCAGAAGCGCUC